CAGGUGUUCCAGCUCAAGCACACCUGAUGCAACUAAUUAAGGACUUCAUUAGUUGUACCAGGUGUGCUUGAGCUGGAGCACAUG
Molecule: non-coding RNA, 84 nt
Organism: Podarcis lilfordi (Lilford's wall lizard)
Lineage: Eukaryota; Metazoa; Chordata; Lepidosauria; Squamata; Lacertidae
Source: the annotation of a GenBank genome assembly